This 189-nucleotide ribosomal RNA is filed under the name uncultured bacterium. RNAcentral describes it as "partial 16S ribosomal RNA". It matches the Rfam family "Bacterial small subunit ribosomal RNA", at positions 1304 to 1500 of the family's 1533-position model. The record is from RNAcentral.
CCUGCAACCCGGCUCCGUGAAGCUGGAUUCGCUAGUAAUCGCGCAUCAGCCAUGGCGCGGUGAAUACGUUCCCGGGCCUUGUACACACCGCCCGUCAAGCCAUGGGAGCCGGGGGCGCCUGAAGUGCGGUACCGCGAGGGCCGCCCAAGGGCGAGACCGGUGACUGGGGCUAAGUCGUAACAAGGUAAC